RNAcentral lists this ribosomal RNA (376 nucleotides) under uncultured organism. Its description in RNAcentral is "partial 16S ribosomal RNA". It matches the Rfam family "Bacterial small subunit ribosomal RNA", at positions 527 to 896 of the family's 1533-position model. The record is from RNAcentral.
GUAGGUGGCAAGCGUUGUCCGGAAUUAUUGGGCGUAAAGCGCGCGCAGGCGGUUCUUUAAGUCUGAUGUGAAAGCCCACGGCUCAACCGUGGAGGGUCAUGGGAAACUGGAGAACUUGAGUACAGAAGAGGAAAGCGGAAUUCCACGUGUAGCGGUGAAAUGCGUAGAGAUGUGGAGGAACACCAGUGGCGAAGGCGGCUUUCUGGUCUGUAACUGACGCUGAGGCGCGAAAGCGUGGGGGGAGCAAACAGGAUUAGAUACCCUGGUAGUCCACGCCGUAAACGAUGAGUGCUAAGUGUUAGGGGGUUUCCGCCCCCCCCUUAGUGCUGCAGCUAACGCAUUAAGCACUCCGCCUGGGGAUACGGCCGCAAGGCUG